GCUUUGGUGGGUCUGCCUAACAUCCGAGACAGGCACAUGGCCUAGAAGGGGCAGAGUGGCUGCAGGGGGACUGCCUGGAAUGUCAGGUAAGUCCCCCCCAGUGCGAUCGCCAUUAUGGGAACACUGGCAGUCAGGUAAGUGGCGAGGACGGCAGGCAUGUGCUAUGACGCCUGGUAGAAUUUAGGCCUGUCUCCUUAAGGAUGGUUUAGCACUGUAAGAUCAAAAUUUACAUCUCUUUAAAUGUUUGCCAUAGACUUCUAUUAAUUGAUCAAUCACUGGUUUUGUUUGUAACCUCUGCAGUACUGCGAAGUUCAACUGAACGACACACAUGAUGCUGGUUCAAAAAGACUACGAUUUAAUUGUAACACACAUCAGUAUGUGAAAUGAGCAUUAUACAUGCCCCUUAUUGGAUCAUCUAAUAGGGUACUAACACAUAGUUCUUAAAGGAAAUAGAGGGGUAGAAACACACAUACUUGCAGUAUACAGGAAAUAGGGAAGAAAGUAAAUAAAGUACUAACAAAUGGUCACUGUCAUACAAAGAAAGGAUACCAAUGUAUAGAACGGCCAACACCCUGUCUAAAAGGAACAUGACUUAGCGUGUUAGUCUAGGGGCUUAUUCAUUAACAUGUUGAAAAUCAAGAAGCAUAAAAAUAAUAUUCUAUCAAGCACGCAGGCCAUCUUUAAGGAGUUAACAAAUAUGGAGAAACUGCUUGUAAAUAUUACUGAAAUCUUUCAUUUAUAGUUGGACGGAAGGCUAACACAUAAGGUUACAUCAGACAUAGCAUUCACUGGCAAGAUGGAGGCUUCGUGGAUGUUAUAGUGGAGUACGUGUUACCAGAAAUAUAAUGGAUGCAAUAAGGAUAUGUG
This is a non-coding RNA of Pelobates cultripes (western spadefoot toad), 867 nucleotides long. The record is from the annotation of a GenBank genome assembly. Lineage: Eukaryota; Metazoa; Chordata; Amphibia; Anura; Pelobatidae.